Molecule: long non-coding RNA, 867 nt
Organism: Leopardus geoffroyi (Geoffroy's cat)
Lineage: Eukaryota; Metazoa; Chordata; Mammalia; Carnivora; Felidae
Exons: 2
Source: RefSeq, a predicted model, not a curated record
CUCCCCCCAGGCAAGUGGCUGGCUGGAGCUCGCUAGCUGGCACACACACGCUCACACAAGCACGCAGGCGCACUUUCCUUCCGGAAGAGCCCCGGGAAAGGCACGCAGGGUCAGAAGCCUCCUUCCACUGCCUAACCUGUUCAGUCAGAUCCCAGCUUCUUCCUGCUGCGGCACCUUUGCCCAGGCUUCCUGCCACCGCACAGCUGCAGCCCCGGAGGACAACUGUCGCCAUGCCCGCACAGGCAGCAGGGGACUCCCCAGGAUGGGGAAGGGGACUCAAGGCAAGAAGUCCUUCUCUUCUUUGGGGGACCCGGUUUUCAAUCAUGACAAUGUUUGUGAGUCCCUGGAUGAAGGCAUAGCUGGACGCCCAUGGCUCAUUCUGCACACAGUAUCACAUCGCAGCUUUCUGGAGGUCCCUAUCACCCCAGGCUGGGCCAUGACGAUUGGCACUGCCACGCACCUGAGACAUUCCAGGGAGGACAGGCAGGGGGAGAACCGUGCCUGUUCUCACCAAGACCACAAUUUGGAAUACCCCUUCUGCAAGUCAAGUUGAAAGGAGAGAAAUGAGAAACUACAAUCCACCUUCCGGGGGGUGGGGGGGGGUGGGGGGGGUGAUCCAUCUCACGGACAUGUGGCCAACUCCCCCAGUUCCCACUGCUCUGGGCGAGUCACUCCCAGCAGUGCUGAGCAAUUCUUAACACUUGACCCACUUUUAGUUCUUUUUUGGACUGUUUUCUCCAAAGCAUACAAUCAUGGGAUUAUUGUUUUCUUCUGAAAUGAGCUUUCUCACUUAAGACUCUCCACUUCUAGGCUGCCUGAAAUUUAUGCUGUGUGUGAAAAAAUUAAAUUUAUAGUAAGUGACACAGA